GACGAACGCUGGCGGCGUGCCUAAUACAUGCAAGUCGAACGCAGUGGGGACGGGUGAGUAACACGUGGGUAACCUCCCAUCAGAGGGGAUAACACUUGGAAACAGGUGCUAAACCGAUACUGAUGGAUGGACCCGCGGUGCAUUAGCUAGUUGGUGAGGUAACGGCUCACCAAGGCCACGAUGCAUAGCCGACAGGCGUGGGUGAUCGGCCACACUGGGACGGAGAAACGGCACAGGCUCCUGCGGGAGGCAGCAGUAGUGAGUCUACGGCAAUGGACGAAAGUCUGACCGGGCAACGCCUCGUAAGAAAGAAGGGUUUUCGGUUCGUAAGACUCUGUUGUUGGAAAAGCGGUACCGGAAUAGAAAGCCACGGCUAACUACGUGCCAGCCGCCGCGGUAAUUC
RNAcentral lists this ribosomal RNA (403 nucleotides) under uncultured bacterium. RNAcentral describes it as "partial 16S ribosomal RNA". It matches the Rfam family "Bacterial small subunit ribosomal RNA", at positions 28 to 526 of the family's 1533-position model. The record is from RNAcentral.